GACGAACGCUGGCGGCGUGCCUAAUACAUGCAAGUAGAACGCUGAAGGAGGAGCUUGCUUCUCUGGAUGAGUUGCGAACGGGUGAGUAACGCGUAGGUAACCUGCCUGGUAGCGGGGGAUAACUAUUGGAAACGAUAGCUAAUACCGCAUAAGAGUAGAUGUUGCAUGACAUUUGCUUAAAAGGUGCAAUUGCAUCACUACCAGAUGGACCUGCGUUGUAUUAGCUAGUUGGUGGGGUAACGGCUUACCAAGGCGACGAUACAUAGCCGACCUGAGAGGGUGAUCGGCCACACUGGGACUGAGACACGGCCCAGACUCCUACGGGAGGCAGCAGUAGGGAAUCUUCGGCAAGGGACGGAAGUCUGACCGAGCAACGCCGCGUGAGUGAAGAAGGUUUUCGGAUCGUAAAGCUCUGUUGUAAGAGAAGAACGAGUGUGAGAGUGGAAAGUUCACACUGUGACGGUAUCUUACCAGAAAGGGACGGCUAACUACGUG
Molecule: ribosomal RNA, 495 nt
Filed under: uncultured bacterium
Lineage: Bacteria
Description: partial 16S ribosomal RNA
Rfam family: Bacterial small subunit ribosomal RNA
Source: RNAcentral